Molecule: ribosomal RNA, 243 nt
Filed under: uncultured bacterium
Lineage: Bacteria
Description: partial 16S ribosomal RNA
Rfam family: Bacterial small subunit ribosomal RNA
Source: RNAcentral
UGGGUAACCUGCCUCAAAGAGGGGAAUAGCCUCCCGAAAGGGAGAUUAAUACCGCAUAAUAUGUUUUAGUCGCAUGACUUAAACAUCAAAGGAUUUUCUUUUAGAAAUUCCACUUUGAGAUGGACCCGCGGCGCAUUAGCUAGUUGGUGAGGUAACGGCUCACCAAGGCAACGAUGCGUAGCCGACCUGAGAGGGUNAUCGGCCACAUUGGAACUGAGGCACGGUCCAGACUCCGUAGGGAGG